UGGGGGAUAUUGCACAAUGGGCGCAAGCCUGAUGCAGCGACGCCGCGUGAAGGAAGACGUAUUUCGGUAUGUAAACUUCUAUCAGCGGGGAAGAAGAUGACGGUACCCGACUAAGAAGCCCCGGCUAAUUACGUGCCAGCAGCCGCGGUAAUACGUAAGGGGCAAGCGUUAUCCGGAUUUACUGGGUGUAAAGGGAGCGUAGACGGUGAGGCAAGUCUGAUGUGAAAACCCGGGGCUCAACUCCGGGAUUGCAUUGGAAACUGUCUGACUUGAGUACUGGAGGGGUAAGCGGAAUUCCUGGUGUAGCGGUGAAAUGCGUAGAUAUCAGGAGGAACACCGGUGGCGAAGGCGGCUUACUGGACAGUAACUGACGUUGAGGCUCGAAAGCGUGGGGAGCAAACAGG
This 404-nucleotide ribosomal RNA is filed under the name uncultured prokaryote. RNAcentral describes it as "bacterial SSU rRNA". It matches the Rfam family "Bacterial small subunit ribosomal RNA", at positions 355 to 776 of the family's 1533-position model. RNAcentral also lists the same sequence under 1 other name. The record is from RNAcentral.